This 502-nucleotide ribosomal RNA is filed under the name uncultured bacterium. RNAcentral's name for it is "partial 16S ribosomal RNA". It matches the Rfam family "Bacterial small subunit ribosomal RNA", at positions 28 to 507 of the family's 1533-position model. The record is from RNAcentral.
GACGAACGCUGGCGGCGUGCUUAACACAUGCAAGUCGAACGGUGAAGGGGCCUGCUUUUGUGGGCCCUGGGUGAGUGGCGAACGGGUGAGUCACACGUGAGUAACCUGCCCCCUUCUUCUGGCUAACCGCAUGUAAGUCUGGCUAAUACGGGAUAUUCUGGGUCUGUCGCAUGGUGGGUCUGGGUACGAUUGCGCCUUUGGGUGUCUCUGGUGGGGGAUUGGCUCGCGGGCUAUGAGCUUGUUGGUGGGGUGAUGGCCUGCCAAGGAGGUGACGGGUAGCCGGCCGGAGGGUGUGGACGGUGACACUGUGACUGGGACACGGCCCAGAGUCCUACGGGAGGCAGCAGUGGGGAAUAUUGCACAAGGGGCGCAAGCCUGAUGCAGCGACGCCGCGUGAGGGAUGGAGGCCUUCGGGUUGUAAACCUCUUUCGCCAGUGAAGCAGGCCUGCUCCUUGUGGGUGGGUUGACGGUAGCUGGAUAAGAAGCGCCGGCUAACUACGUG